UAUAGAUAUACCUCAGUGUAUUUCAAGGCAGAUUAAAAUAAGUGCUAAGUAGCUACAAGUUUUGUGUGGUGACAACCAAUGAUACUGAUAGGUAAUUCUGCCUGGUGCAACCUGAGGAAGCUUCGGCCAGGAAAUGGCCUUUGGGAUUUGAGUCACUGGGAAUGGAUCAUGUGGGGCGUUCAGAUGGGCUUUCAUUUAUGGGUGGCACUGGGUUAUUAGUUGGACCAAACCAUGUUUCUUUGUGGGCCAGUCUGUCUUGGAUAGAGCUCUUUUCAUUUAAAGUGAUAGAAAAUCUACUUUAACCAACUUAAACAGUAAAGGGAAAGAUUUCCUAAAAGGGCAAUAUAUAAGCACAUGUUUCAGCAGCAGGCCCAGCUGGAUUCAGGCUUUUGGAUGCCACUGGGACCCAUUUUGUAGUUCUGGUUAUUCUCAAUACUAAUUUCAUUUUCAGCCCAGUAGCCAGCACCCCCUCUGGGGGGACAAGGUGUUGGACACUUCCAAAACUGCCUAGUUCUAGUUCAAAUUCAGUGAAAUGAAAGUCUAGCAUGUCUCCAUCUUUGCCUUCCCCACAACAGUCCUGACAUCUGAUAUAAUCACCUGGCCUUAGUUCCAUGGCUCUGCCUUGAAGAUUCCUGUGGGUGGGGAGGUGCUGCUAGGGGCUUCACCCAAAGACAAGGCACCAGAAUCCCCUGAAUUGAUGGAGGGAAGAGCUGGCACCUGGAAAAUAAAGAGGAGCUGCCAGCAGAGACAGUUAGCAGAGAGAUACUCCAAGUACUUACUUUUUUACCAUGAGACACCAGUCACACUCUGGGACCACAGCUGUACCCUAACUCACCAGCUGCAUGACCUUUUGCAAAGUUCAUCAUCUCUCCAUGCUUCAGUUUUCUCAUCUGCAGAAAAGAAAUAGUAGUAAGUCCAACAUCAUAGGGUUAGAGAAAAACCUAAUGAAUUUUUACAAAUCUUACCAGGCUGAAAUCGCCAGGUAGAGUCAGUGGAGCUGUCAUUAUGUAAUGACUUCCUUUCCCUGUGUUUUUAUAUUUAUUCAGUUAUUCUGUACGUUUCCAGUCCCCACUUGGCUAUCAUGGUGGCGGGAAGUCAUCCACCUCUCAAGAACACCUCAGUGUGAUUAAAACCAAAGUCCUGCUAGGGAUGGGGCUCUGGUCCAUGUUGCUCCCUGCCAUAAAGAUCACUAUACAUGAUGAGGGCCCUAGAAAUCUAGCUCAGGGUCGGCCAUGGAAACCCUAGCCACUCUGCAUUUGGUGUCAUUAGGGAAAACUAGGAGGAAAUCGUAGCACUUGGGCCAUUUGCAGAGGAACUUUGUGAUCUAAUCCAAAAUUUUGGAACAUUCUGUCAAAUACAAUCUGAACCAGAACCCAUUCCCAUGAGGAAACUACCCAAGUUGGCUAGCCUUUCUCUCAUCCCUUUCUCAGUGUGUGAAUUAGCAUGUUAGGAAGAGAGACACAGAGAGAGAGACUGAGAGAGAUUGAGAGAUUCAUAAAGGCUUAGGUAAGAAAAAUUUUUAAAAUGUGAUGCCAGUAGAUUAAAAUGACCUGGAAUACCCAUUAUUUCUGCAAUAACCAAUUCAAGGGCUUUAUGUUGGUGGUGGUGGUGGAAUGUGUCUUAUUUUAAUUGCAUCCCCUACUUUAACAGAGUUGGCUUGAGUUAUGCUCUAAAACCAGCCGAUCUCCUAAAUAUUGGAGUCAGCUGGAGCAGAGGUUCUCUAAGUGUGGUCCCAAUGCCAGCAGGUUCAGACUCAGAAUGGCUCUGAAUGCCCAUUCCCAGGACUUACCUAGAGUGGCAGUGGUAGUGGUCAUCUUCCAGGCCAGUUUUCUCAUUAGCCUAGAAGGUAAGAGGCAUUCUGACAAAGGACACUUUUGGAGUCACUGGCAUUUACCAGAAUGGGAGGGGGCCUCCCAGGGAGGUGCUUGAAAUCCUAUAAUUGGAAGAGUUCAGGUAAACCUGGUAGAUACUCUGGAACAGAAUUCUUAAAAGUAGCACCUGAUGGCUGUAUCCACACCACUCUAUUAUUUAUUGAUUCUUUUUGGAAAAAAUUUGCAUUAGAAUGCAAUUACCACCAUGAACUUGUGGCAAGGAACUAGAUUUGAACUCUAAAUAGGCCAUAUUGUCCAUAAUAUUUGCACCUGGUAAUUUAUAGAACAUCACCAUUCAAUAUUUUUGCUAUUAUGGAAAUAUCCUGUGUCUUUCCUGUCUAAUUCUGUAGCUUCAAGUACAUAAUAUUUUGGCAUAUAGAUCCUAUGACAAAAGAACUGAGUUUGUCACUUUGAUGUAUUACAUGGCCAAUGGCCACAAUAUUGGGUAACAUCAUUCUAGGACACAAAAGCAUAAAAUGGAAGCAUUUCCUCUAAAAACUGGAAAAACACAGGGAUGCCCCCUUUUACCUCUUUUAUUUAACAUAGUUCUUGAAACACUGGCCAGAGCAAUUAGACAGAUAAAAGAAAUUAAAGGGAUAUGGAUAGGUAAAUAAGAACUCAUUAGCACUAUUUGCUGACAAUAUAAUUGUAUACUUAGAAGACCCACCAAAUUCCAUCAGAAAACUGCUAGUAUUAGUAAAUGAAGUCAGAAAAGUAGCAGGAUACAAAAUGAACACUCACAAAUUAAAGGCAAUUCUGUAUAUUAGUAACAAAUCCUCUGAAAGGAAAAUGAGAAAAACUACCCAAUUUAGAAUAGUAUCAAAAUUAUAAUAAAAUACUUGGAAAUCAACUUAAUAAAAUAGGUGAAAGACCUCUACAAUGAAAACUAAAGAAUCCUAAGGGGAAAAAAUUUUUUUUAAAAA
Molecule: long non-coding RNA, 2794 nt
Filed under: Marmota monax (woodchuck)
Lineage: Eukaryota; Metazoa; Chordata; Mammalia; Rodentia; Sciuridae
Source: RNAcentral